Molecule: long non-coding RNA, 176 nt
Organism: Vanessa tameamea
Lineage: Eukaryota; Metazoa; Arthropoda; Insecta; Lepidoptera; Nymphalidae
Exons: 5
Source: RefSeq, a predicted model, not a curated record
CAGACAAUAUGAAACUUCUAAUCGUUUUCGCUUUUUGCCUGAUCGUUGUCUUGGCUUUGCCUGCACCGAACCAGCAGGACGAUGAGGAUCAAGAACAGCAUACCCGAAGAAAAUUAAAAAGUGUUCGCUUACAACUAGUCGACAACGAUAAAAAACAUUCAACUCAACUCGGUCAA